UUGAUUUUUUAUGACUAAUAAUGAUUGCUACAGCCUUUCCCUCGGUAAUUCUGCUACCUCCAGGAUCCAAAGGAAGUCAAGUUGAUUACAAGUGACGAACCAUUCUUCUCAUUCAGAUUAUACUAACCUCUCCACAUCAGCUGUCCCAGUGCUUGGAGGGCUCUGCUGCGGUAUAUGGAAGCGGAGACUGAGACAUGAACCGUAGGGGAGACGGGGCUGCUCCUGGACAGAAUCGCCAUCCUCAUUCCCAUCGCCGUCACACCGGGGCUUUCUACAAAUUUUGAAGGACUGCUCGGCUUCCAGCUUCGGAAACACGGAUUUCCAGGUCUGUUCUGGGGACCGUUUGGGAACGUGGAGAGGAGUGGACGCCAGUUGGCAGCUGUGAUUCGUUCCCCAGCCCUGUCUCUGGCGU
Molecule: long non-coding RNA, 412 nt
Filed under: Ursus maritimus (polar bear)
Lineage: Eukaryota; Metazoa; Chordata; Mammalia; Carnivora; Ursidae
Description: lncRNA (ENSUMAG00000009430.1)
Source: RNAcentral